CGGACGGGUGAGUAAUGUCUGGGAAACUGCCUGAUGGAGGGGGAUAACUACUGGAAACGGUAGCUAAUACCGCAUAACGUCGCAAGACCAAANAGGGGGACCUUCGGGCCUCUUGCCAUCGGAUGUGCCCAGAUGGGAUUAGCUAGUAGGUGGGGUAACGGCUCACCUAGGCGACGAUCCCUAGCUGGUCUGAGAGGAUGACCAGCCACACUGGAACUGAGACACGGUCCAGACUCCUACGGGAGGCAGCAUG
Molecule: ribosomal RNA, 253 nt
Filed under: uncultured bacterium
Lineage: Bacteria
Description: partial 16S ribosomal RNA
Rfam family: Bacterial small subunit ribosomal RNA
Source: RNAcentral